Molecule: long non-coding RNA, 113 nt
Organism: Sander lucioperca (pikeperch)
Lineage: Eukaryota; Metazoa; Chordata; Actinopteri; Perciformes; Percidae
Exons: 3
Source: RefSeq, a predicted model, not a curated record
UGCUUUAGUAGCAGUAGGGCUGGGCGAUAUGGAAUAAAUGAAAUAUCACGAUAUUCUUGAACAAAUACCUCAAUGUCAAUAUUGCGACAAUGGUGUAAGGUUCACAACUGGUG